RNAcentral lists this ribosomal RNA (417 nucleotides) under uncultured eukaryote. Its description in RNAcentral is "bacterial SSU rRNA". It matches the Rfam family "Eukaryotic small subunit ribosomal RNA", at positions 592 to 1018 of the family's 1831-position model. The record is from RNAcentral.
CAAUAGCGUAUAUUAAAGUUGUUGCAGUUAAAAAGCUCGUAGUUGGAUUUCUGGCAGAGAGACUAUGCCCGCACGUAGCGUGUGCAGAGGCUCUCUACCAUCCUUCUGUUAACCCUUCUAGUCAUUGACUUGACUGUUGGGAGCCCAGAUAUUUUACCUUGAGAAAAUUAGAGUGUUUCAGGCAGGCUAGCGCGUGGAUACAUUAGCAUGGAAUAAUGGAAUAGGACUUUUACCUCUUCUGUUGGUCUGAGGGGGUUAAAGUAAUGAUUAAUAGGGAUAGUUGGGGGCAUUAGUACUUAACUGUCAGAGGUGAAAUUCUUGGAUUUGUUAAAGACUAACUUAUGCGAAAGCAUUUGCCAAAGAUGUUUUCAUUAAUCAAGAACGAAAGUUAGGGGAUCAAAGACGAUUAGAUACCAU